Homo sapiens (human) is the source of this 4459-nucleotide long non-coding RNA. Ensembl annotates it as VLDLR antisense RNA 1. Its record names the gene VLDLR-AS1. The record is from Ensembl. NCBI's taxonomy places the organism in Eukaryota, Metazoa, Chordata, Mammalia, Primates, Hominidae.
AGAACACGCAGCAGCAGCAGCAGUUAGCGCUGAUGCAACUAUCGUUGCUGUUGCCACCGCCUCCCCACUGACGGGGCGUGCACCUGGGGGGUACUUGCAGUUUCCAGGGGCAACAAGCAUCUCUCUACCACCCUCUCCUGCGCCCCUGAGAGAGGCUGGCUCCAAGCUUGAUAUAGAAGACUAUCAUAUGAACCAGAAAGGGUAACUGAAACCAAAGAAAUGACUCCAGUAUCAAGCUAAAGACAUGCCUUAAAGGAUGAGGAGGAGCAGAAAUCUUACCAGCAAGGCAAGAAAGAAGCCGUACGUGAACAGCCUCUGCUUUAGGCCCAGAAGGAAAAGAAGCUUACAGGAGACAAUCAGUCUUACACUCUUCCAUGGUCACAAACAAGAGGUCCCUGGAUCUACAGUAUCUAGGCCCACAUGCAAUAUGACUUUGCAACUCAUCCCAUCAGAGGAUGGAAACUAUUUCUUCACCCCCUUGAACCUGGGCUGGCUUUGUAAUUUGUUUUGGCCAAUAGAAUGUGGUGGAAGUGAUGGUGUUACCAGAAAGAGUUCCCAAUCCAGACUCGUGCGAGAAAGAAUUUGAGAAAUGAAAGAACCAGAGCAUUAUAGCAGAACGAAUCCUGGAAUGGGAAUGGAAUGCCUGGAUUUGUGGCACAGUUGGGAAGCGUCCUGGCCAUGCCAUGUUAAAGCUGUCUCCAAGGCAGUGAUUCUUACCCUUGGCUACACAUUGGAGUCAUUUGGGAAGCUAGAAAAAAAAAAUGCCCAGGACCUGGGCAAGACGGCUGAAUAAGAACAGCUCUGGUCUGCAGUUCCUAGCAAGAUCAACGCAGAAGGGAAGCUGGCAGCCUGGGCUCUUGGAGAUUGUAUCUGGUGCCGGAGAGGACUGGCUCCCACACUCAGUGAGGGAGGAAUUUUACUGACCCAGCAUCCAGAUGAACUUUGGUGAGGAGAGGAGGACAUAAGAGCCUGGUGGUUGAUGAUGGAAGAGAUGAAACUGUGAAGAGACCGAAGAAGCUAAUCUAUCAAUAGUUAAGAUUCCAUUUCUAAAAGAUCUUACUUUGAGUCUACCUAUGCCUGGGAUGUCAAGAGACGGAGUUUCACUGUUGUUGCCCAGGCUGGAGUGCAGUGGCGUGAUUUCAGCUCACGGCUACCUCUGCCUCCCGGGUUCAAGCAAUUCUCCUGCCUCAGCCUCCCAAGUAGCUGGGAUUACAGAUCAUCUCUCUACUGACCUUUUAGUGGCUUAGCAUUUUGUUGCAAUGCACAAGUGAAGUUGGGAAACAGAGCCAAGUGACAAGCUGUGAAGUAACAGCUCAGCCUUCACAAAGCAAAUGUGCUUUGUGCACUUCCUUGCCAGAGCAGAUGUGGCCUUGGUGGACUGUGGGGAGCAUCAUCUCUCAGGUAGGAAAGAGACAAAUGGAAGCAAAAUAGCAAAAUGGUGAAGAGGAGGGUUCUAGAGGCAGAGAGCCCUGCAGUCCUGAGUCCUGAGUCCACCGUUUAACAGAGUGACUUUGCUCAGCCUGUGGAUUAUAAUGAAACUUGCCUGUUAUAGGAUCCAGUUUUUUAGGUGGUAGCAACAUGCUCAAGGAAGAUGCAGCCCCUUCCUCCAGCCUGAGAGAAUAAAGCAUCAUUGGCUUAUGCCAACCAUGGCAAUCCCAUUCCCCUUUUCUCAUGAUUGAUUUGGGAAUGGGCAAGUGACCCAGUUCUAACCAAUGAGACGAAAGAAAAAGUCUAUUGGUCAGCUUAUCUCAGAAGAUUUUUGUUUCCUGCUAUAAAGAGAAACAGUAAGUUCCUUCCUGCCUGACUUAAAUGCAAUUGUGUGCAAACAUGUUACUUGGAGCUACAGCAACGAUUCUGUGACCAUGAGGCAAUAAGCCAAGGACAAAGGAUAGAAUAGUGAAAAGACAGAGUAUUGGAUUUUUUUUAUGAUAUCAUUGAACUGCUGGACCAAUGUGGAACCAUCUACUUUUAGUCUUUCAUGAUUUGUGAGAUGAUUAAACAUUUCUUUUUUUUAGCCAUUAUUUCUUUUCUGUUACUUGCAACUGAAGACAUCCUACAUAAUACAAACACUAUCCAACUUGGAUUGUAAUUUAUCUAUUUUCAGAUCUGUGUGUUCUGUCUUACUGAUUUUUGUAUUCUUAGCACUGAGUAUAAGGCUGCUACUUAGUAAGACUUCAAUAAAUGACUGUUUAAAAAGGUCUUAGAGGAUUUAAAAAAAAUUCUGAAGUUGCUGAAAUAUGAAGACCAGGAACCAAUUUCAGGUUCUAUAAAUUUCUCGCUUCCUUCACUUCUGGAGUAGUCUUCAUUUCUGUCUGAUUCUACCUUUACUAAAAUGAAUGAAUGAUUGAGAAAUACGAAAAAUGGCUGGUAUAGUGGCUACUGCUGAGAAGUAUCUCUUGGAAAUUCCCGGAAAUUCCAUCAGUCACAUUCAGACCUAACUCUCUGAUGAUCAAUGUUUCUGAACUCAAACCAGUGUACAUAAGCAGUGGACUAUUUAAAGUGGUAUUAGCCUAGAAUAUCUAGGACCCAUGUUUUAUGCAUUCAGUAAGCGUUUGUUUAAUGUCUGUUAUCUACCAGGCACAUUAUUAUGCAUUGGGCAUAUAGAGAUGACCAACCACACGGCCUCAAUCCUUGAAAAGCUUACAGUAACCAAAUAGGGUUAACGGCCUAAAGAGAGGUAAUUACAAGUCUUACACUCAGUCUUCUUAGCAUAGUAUGGUGCUACCUCUGAGUUAAUUAAGAUAACAAAAUUCCUAGAUAUAUAUCUUUGAUGAAACGGUUUCCAUGAAAACUUUCCAAGUUUGGUCCCUCCCCGGCUGAGUUCAUUUUGGAAGGUGACUUUCUGCUCUCAUCACCUAAGGUCCUUAACACGUAUCCUGUGUUCUCCGGAGGCACCCCUUGCCCAGAGUGUGCCCUCUGCAUGGUUCCCCCAGAACACCUAUUUCAAAGGAAAAGAAGUUGGAUCAUUCAGUGAAGAUUUGGGGGGCCACUUUUCUACGUGGGAGGAUUAUGAGUAUUACCUUCCUCCCCUAUGUAUUAGUAAAUAUAAAGAAAACAUAAAUUAACCCCCUUUCUGGCUGGGCACGGUGGCUCACGCCUGUCAUCCCGCACUAUGGGAAUCCGAAGUGGGCGGAUCACUUGAGGUCAGCAGUUUGAGACCAGCCUGGCCAACAUGGCAAAACCCCGUCUCUACUAAAAUAUAAAAAUUAGCCAGAUGUGGUUGCACACAUCUCUAGUCCCAGCUACUCGGGAGGCUGAGGCACAAGAACUGCUUGAGCCUGGGAGCAAGGGUUGCAGUGAGCUGAGAUUGUGCCAUUGCACUCCAGCCUGGGUGACAGAGCAAGACUCUGUCUCAAAAAAAUAAAAUAAAAUAAAAAUAAUUUAGACCCCAUUCUUCUUAGAUAACCAUGACUUCUGAAGGAGGUCAGAGCUCUUGUGCUCUGCAUCUCUGCUCCAUCAGCCUCAAGGCCACCUUUCAGGUCCACAUGAAAUAUAAGUGCACAAAGGCACCAGACUUAGCAUUAUUAGUUUCCCCCACUGGUCUGAUUUUUGUAGAAAUUGCCAGGAACUGAUUUUCUGCCCUUCCUUCCUAACAGACAAGCCUUCCAGCCCUCCCUGACACAGCUCUUCCCUAUCUCCUACUCUCUGGUCAUCAAGCUUUUAGAGAUGCCCUGGCCUUCUCUAGUUGCCCCAGCUGUAUUUUUUCUUCUUGGGAAUGCGUUGAUUCCAGAGCCUGACUGGGAAUAAAUCUCAGCUCCUCCAUUUAGCAGUUAUGGGAUUCAAGUUACUCUUACUCCCAGGGACUCAGUUUCUGCACCUGUAAAAUGGAGAUUUACCACCUUUCGUUCCAGCAUUACUGAUAUUGUUUGGCUCUGUGUCCCUACCCAAAUCCCAUCUCGAAAAUUAAUCCCUAUAGUCCCCACCUGUUGAGGGUCCUGGUGGGAGGUAAUUGGAUCCUGGGGGCGGCUUUUCCCAUGCUGUUCUCGUGAUAGUGAGUAAGUUCUCACGAGAGCUGACGGUUUUAUAAGUGUUUGACAGUUUCUCCUUCACACGCUCUCUCUUCUGUCUCCUGCCAUCAUGUAAGAUGUGCCUGCUUCUCCUCCUCUCAUGAUUGCAAGUCUCCUGAGGCCUCCUCAGCCAUGAAGAACUGUGAGUCAAUUAAACCUCUUUCUUUUAUAAAUUACCCAGUCUUGGGUAUUUCUUUGUAGCAGUGUGAAAACAGACUAAUGCAAUUACCAUAAUGGGCUUUCAAUUGAUGAACUUGCAUCACUGACUCCUCAACACGCAGCUGACUUCCUACUGUAAUUGUUCACCAUGCAGACAUUUGUGGAGCCACAAGCAUAACCAUCAUGGUAUUUAAGAUUCGUUCUGUAUCUGGAUUUAUGCAGUUUAUGAAAAAUCAUCAAACUGUCCUUAUUAUUGGUGUCUUUUUUCUGUAUAUAUGUUAUGCUUCAAUAAA